This 425-nucleotide ribosomal RNA is filed under the name uncultured bacterium. RNAcentral describes it as "partial 16S ribosomal RNA". It matches the Rfam family "Bacterial small subunit ribosomal RNA", at positions 354 to 796 of the family's 1533-position model. The record is from RNAcentral.
GUGGGGAAUAUUGGACAAUGGGCGCAAGCCUGAUCCAGCCAUGCCGCGUGAGUGAUGAAGGCCUUAGGGUUGUAAAGCUCUUUCACCAAUGAAGAUAAUGACGGUAGUCGGAGAAGAAGCCCCGGCUAACUUCGUGCCAGCAGCCGCGGUAAUACGAAGGGGGCUAGCGUUGUUCGGAUUUACUGGGCGUAAAGCGCACGUAGGCGGUUUGUUAAGUCAGGGGUGAAAUCCCGGAGCUCAACUCCGGAACUGCCUUUGAUACUGGCAAGCUAGAGUCCGGAAGAGGUAAGUGGAACUCCUAGUGUAGAGGUGGAAUUCGUAGAUAUUAGGAAGAACACCAGUGGCGAAGGCGGCUUACUGGUCCGGAACUGACGCUGAGGUGCGAAAGCGUGGGGAGCAAACAGGAUUAGAAACCCUGGUAGUCC